Long non-coding RNA from Ornithorhynchus anatinus (platypus), 1194 nucleotides. RefSeq lists it as uncharacterized. The record is from RefSeq and is a predicted model, not a curated record. Lineage: Eukaryota; Metazoa; Chordata; Mammalia; Monotremata; Ornithorhynchidae. The transcript has 8 exons.
CCACCGAGCCACGCUGCUUUUCUAAAAUAGCAUCUUACCCCCAGAAGACUCUUCUGAAGCUUCUCUUCCGGUUAGCACAACCCCCCGCCCGGCAGGAAGGACCCCCCAACCCUCAGGACUUGCCCCAAUCGACACGUCACCCCAUCUUUUAAGGGCAGGGUGACAUCCUCCUCCCGUGACGCGGGGGCCCGAUCAUCCGGCGGGUUAAAAAUACCAACAGAAUGAAAAUUUAAAAAAAGAGAAAAAAAAGAGGCCUAGAAAUAGUCGGUGGAACGGCACUCAGAGGCCCUGUGAAUGACUGAUAGAAGCGCCAGAUCAUCCAGCAGGGUUAAAAAUAGCUAGAGAAUGAAAAAUCAAAGGCUGUGCAACAGUGCUCAGAAACUUGAGAAUGGCUGGCCAGAAGGGGAAUAAUCCCAGCGAACGGCAUCAGCAACUAAGAAGGAAUUGAAAGUCUUUUGUGGACCGAGACGGUUUCUGGGGAGAUCCAACCCAUGAACAUGAAUGGGGAUGAACAUGGGAUCAGUAGACCGACCUGUGUCAUUUACAGGCCCUCACGGAAGUAGUUUUUACAAGCCACUGGCCAAUUGGUCAGCAAUAAGAAAAGUACUGGGGAUGCAGUCUGCUGAGGAGCUGCGUUUUGAGUCACGGGACCUGGGUUCUAAAUCCCAGCCUCACCACUUGUGACCUUGGCUUCCUUGCUGGGCCGAGAUGAGACAUCGCUUGUAAUCUGGUGACGGGAAGCAAGGCUGAUGUCUGAAAAGGGUCUUGGAUGUGAAAGCCACCUUUGCUCCUGGACUUUCAAAGCCACCAGAAGAAGAGGAAAGAAGAAAGAAGACCGAAGAAGAAAGAGGCAAUUUGUCCACCGACCGUUCAGGAUGGAAAAGAGGUGUGGUGAUGGUUGUGCGAGAGAAAAGAGGGGAACUCUGUCGCCGGGCUCCGGCCUUGCACUCUCUCCGUGUGACCCACCCGAUCCUAAAUUUGCCGAACAACGCCUGCGGGCUUGACAAAGCUGAGCUUGCUGCCUGCAAAAUUUGCACGUAUUCGCUCCUGAACCCAGGAAUUGAUCAUCAGUGUCAUACAGAUGACCCAGACCCACGGUACCUCCGGCACGGAACAUGCUAGGCAGGUUUCAGUUGGGUGUUCAUCAGAACUUUUGGCAGAAGAAGAAACUGAGGCACCGAAGGAAGGUCACAC